RNAcentral lists this ribosomal RNA (414 nucleotides) under uncultured microorganism. RNAcentral describes it as "bacterial SSU rRNA". It matches the Rfam family "Archaeal small subunit ribosomal RNA", at positions 459 to 872 of the family's 1478-position model. The record is from RNAcentral.
CAGCAGCCGCGGUAAUACCGGCGGCCCGAGUGGCGGCCACUAUUAUUGGGCUUAAAGCGUCCGUAGCCGGGUUGGUUAGUCUCCCGGGAAAUCUGGCCGCUUAACGGUCAGAAUUCCGGGAGAUACUGCCAGCCUAGGGACCGGGAGAGGCCGAGGGUAUUCCCGGAGUAGGGGUGAAAUCCUAUAAUCCCGGGAGGACCACCUGUGGCGAAGGCGCUCGGCUGGAACGGGUCCGACGGUGAGGGACGAAGGCCAGGGGAGCAAACCGGAUUAGAUACCCGGGUAGUCCUGGCUGUAAACGAUGCGGACUUUGUGUCGGACAAGCUAUGAGCUUAUCCGGUGCCGGAGGGAAACCGUUAAGUCCGCCGCCUGGGGAGUACGGCCGCAAGGCUGAAACUUAAAGGAAUUGGCGGG